RNAcentral lists this ribosomal RNA (253 nucleotides) under uncultured bacterium. Its description in RNAcentral is "partial 16S ribosomal RNA". It matches the Rfam family "Bacterial small subunit ribosomal RNA", at positions 524 to 776 of the family's 1533-position model. The record is from RNAcentral.
GACGGAGGAGGCAAGCGUUGUCCGGAAUCAUUGGGCGUAAAGAGCGCGUAGGCUGUUUUUCAAGUCGUAUGUGAAAACCUCAGGCUCAACUUGAGGAUUGCAUAUGAAACUGGAUAACUUGAGUGCAGUAGGGGAAAGCGGAAUUCCUGGUGUAGCGGUGAAAUGCGCAGAUAUCAGGAAGAACACCAGUAGCGAAGGCGGCUUUCUGGGCUGCUACUGACGCUGAGGCGCGAAAGCUAGGAGAGCAAACAGG